This is a non-coding RNA of Paramuricea clavata, 390 nucleotides long. The record is from the annotation of a GenBank genome assembly. Lineage: Eukaryota; Metazoa; Cnidaria; Anthozoa; Malacalcyonacea; Plexauridae.
AUAUAAUAUUAUUUAGUGCAUAUGAACAGGCCCUUAAUGUCGAAAGGAGUUGUUUUCUCGCAUAAAUGUUGUGCCAUCUUGUAUUCACACGCUACGAAUUCGAGAGGUAUGGCGCAUCGAAGGACAGCUAUUUGCUACGACCUAGUUACUGCUCUAUUCAGCGACGAACAGUGGUAUCAAAAUUUCCGAGUCAACUACAGCAACAUUCACAUUCUGUGUUAUUUAAAUUUGUUUUAUAACUUUGUUUUUUUUUUAAUUUUUGGCAAGUUGUAGUUUUUCGCCGCUUGCUGCCAUGUUGGAAAGAGGACAAUUUGUUUUGCGCAUGCUCGAUGUCGAACACAUUUUUUAUUUUUUUCGAAAUUUGGGCACGGCACCCUUUGCUAGACGUGC